RNAcentral lists this ribosomal RNA (465 nucleotides) under Vreelandella stevensii. RNAcentral's name for it is "partial 16S ribosomal RNA". It matches the Rfam family "Bacterial small subunit ribosomal RNA", at positions 338 to 795 of the family's 1533-position model. Lineage: Bacteria; Pseudomonadati; Pseudomonadota; Gammaproteobacteria; Oceanospirillales; Halomonadaceae. The record is from RNAcentral.
CCUACGGGUGGCAGCAGUGGGGAAUAUUGGACAAUGGGGGGAACCCUGAUCCAGCCAUGCCGCGUGUGUGAAGAAGGCCCUCGGGUUGUAAAGCACUUUCAGUGAGGAAGAACGCCUGGUGGUUAAUACCCAUCAGGAAAGACGUCACUCACAGAAGAAGCACCGGCUAACUCCGUGCCAGCAGCCGCGGUAAUACGGAGGGUGCGAGCGUUAAUCGGAAUUACUGGGCGUAAAGCGCGCGUAGGUGGCUUGAUAAGCCGGUUGUGAAAGCCCCGGGCUCAACCUGGGAACGGCAUCCGGAACUGUCAAGCUAGAGUGCAGGAGAGGAAGGUAGAAUUCCCGGUGUAGCGGUGAAAUGCGUAGAGAUCGGGAGGAAUACCAGUGGCGAAGGCGGCCUUCUGGACUGACACUGACACUGAGGUGCGAAAGCGUGGGUAGCAAACAGGAUUAGAUACCCUGGUAGUC